CAGAGAAUAGUUUAAUAAAAAUUUUAAUUUUGGAGAUUAAAGAUGGGAAGAUUUUCUUUCUCUGA
This 65-nucleotide transfer RNA is filed under the name Helota thoracica. RNAcentral's name for it is "tRNA-Pro". The record is from RNAcentral. Lineage: Eukaryota; Metazoa; Arthropoda; Insecta; Coleoptera; Helotidae.